AAUGAACGUUGGCGGCGUGGAUUAGGCAUGCAAGUCGCGCGACAAGUCUUUUUUAGUUUACUAAUAAAGACGGAGGAGCGGCGAAAGGGUGAGUAACGCGUGGAUACUUACCCCUAGGCCCGGGAUAGCGUCGGGAAACUGGCGGUAAUACCGGAUAACAUCUCCGGAUCAAAGGUGUGAUUCCGCCUAGGGAUGGGUCCGCGUCCUAUUAGUUUGUUGGUGGGGUAACGGCCUACCAAGGCAAAGAUGGGUACCGGGUGUGAGAGCAUGGCCCGGCACACUGGGACUGAGACACUGCCCAGACACCUACGGGUGGCUGCAGUCGAGAAUCUUCCGCAAUGGGCGCAAGCCUGACGGAGCGACGCCGCGUGCGGGAUGAAGGCCUUCGGGUUGUAAACCGCUGUCAGUGGGGAGCAAAUCCCUAGGGGCUAUCUCCUAGGGUUGAGCGAUCCGCAGAGGAAGCGCAGGCUAAGUUCGUGCCAGCCGCCGCCGUAACAC
Molecule: ribosomal RNA, 498 nt
Filed under: uncultured bacterium
Lineage: Bacteria
Description: bacterial SSU rRNA
Rfam family: Bacterial small subunit ribosomal RNA
Source: RNAcentral